Molecule: long non-coding RNA, 538 nt
Organism: Onychostoma macrolepis
Lineage: Eukaryota; Metazoa; Chordata; Actinopteri; Cypriniformes; Cyprinidae
Exons: 3
Source: RefSeq, a predicted model, not a curated record
GGAGGAUUUGCCAUCUAGAGCGAGUGACCUCCCUCACAUUUACAGAAGGAAGGAGCAAAAGGAGGAUUACUGCGGUAAAAUGGGAUGUUACCUGAGGAAAUGUCAGGUGGAAAUGUUGUAACUGACCUUGAUAGCUUUCGAAAAUACCUUGGCAAAUCCAAACCACUGACCCUGAACCCAGUGACUUUUCAUGUGAUUCGGCUCUGACUUCUGCAGCGUUCUGGCAGUUCUUGGGGCUGAGAUGUCACUUCGUGUCUUGCUCUUCCUCCCCCUUUGCUUCCUUCUAGUAACCUCCCACACUUCAGGCUGUCCGGCGGCAUCCUGCGUUUCUUCGUUCACCAUCCCUCCAUCUGUCCGCUCCAUCCACAUCUCGUAUCUCCAUACUGAUGAAAACCACAGCAAACAUCCGUCCCGCUGAAAACAUCAAACAAGAUAAUCGAUCCUUGGGUAACUGCGGUACGACCAUGGUUUCCAUUAAAAAGUUUGUGUGUUUGUUGAUAAUUUCUUAGGAAGUCUUAUACCUAGGAAUUGAAGCACC